GAUGAACGCUGACAGAAUGCUUAACACAUGCAAGUCUUUGGCGAAGCUGUGCUUGCACAGCCUAGCCAAGGCGGACGGGUGAGUAACGCGUAAGGAACUUGCCCUGCAGUCAGGGAUAACAGACGGAAACGACUGAUAAGACCUGGUAAAGUCAGGCGGACUCAUGUCCAGCCUGAUGAAAAGAGAUGAUGCAGGAGAGCCUUGCGUCCUAUUAGCUUGUUGGUGGGGUAACGGCCCACCAAGGCGAUGAUAGGUAGCCGGCCUGAGAGGGUGGACGGCCACAAGGGGAAUGAGAUACGGCCCUUACUCCUACGGGAGGCAGCAGUGGGGAAUAUUGGACAAUGGGGGCAACCCUGAUCCAGCAAUUCUGUGUGCACGAUGAAGGUUUUCGGAUUGUAAAGUGCUUUCAGCAGGGAAGAAAAAAAUGACGGUACCUGCAGAAGAAGCGACGGCUAAAUACGUG
Molecule: ribosomal RNA, 463 nt
Filed under: uncultured bacterium
Lineage: Bacteria
Description: partial 16S ribosomal RNA
Rfam family: Bacterial small subunit ribosomal RNA
Source: RNAcentral